UACGUAGGGUGCAAGCGUUAAUCGGAAUUACUGGGCGUAAAGCGUGCGCAGGCGGUUUUGUAAGUCAGAUGUGAAAUCCCCGGGCUUAACCUGGGAACUGCGUUUGAAACUACAAGGCUAGAGUGUGGCAGAGGGGGGUGGAAUUCCACGUGUAGCAGUGAAAUGCGUAGAGAUGUGGAGGAACACCGGUGGCGAAGGCGACAUCCUGGACCGGUAUUGACGCUGAGGCGCGAAAGCCAGGGGAGCAAACGGG
This 253-nucleotide ribosomal RNA is filed under the name uncultured bacterium. RNAcentral's name for it is "partial 16S ribosomal RNA". It matches the Rfam family "Bacterial small subunit ribosomal RNA", at positions 524 to 776 of the family's 1533-position model. The record is from RNAcentral.